Molecule: ribosomal RNA, 505 nt
Filed under: uncultured Bacteroidales bacterium
Lineage: Bacteria; Pseudomonadati; Bacteroidota; Bacteroidia; Bacteroidales
Description: bacterial SSU rRNA
Rfam family: Bacterial small subunit ribosomal RNA
Source: RNAcentral
CAGGAUGAACGCUAGCUACAGGCUUAACACAUGCAAGUCGCAGGGUAACAUGAGGAAAGCUUGCUUUCCUUGAUGACGACUGGCGCACGGGUGAGUAACGCGUAUCCAACCUUCCCAUAACUACGGGAUAACCCGUUGAAAGACGGCCUAAUACCGUAUGACAUCGUUUGCUGACAUCAAAUAACGAUUAAAGGUUUAGCGGUUAUGGAUGGGGAUGCGUCUGAUUAGCUUGUUGGCGGGGUAACGGCCCACCAAGGCGACGAUCAGUAGGGGUUCUGAGAGGAAGGUCCCCCACAUUGGAACUGAGACACGGUCCAAACUCCUACGGGAGGCAGCAGUGAGGAAUAUUGGUCAAUGGGCGAGAGCCUGAACCAGCCAAGUAGCGUGCAGGACGACGGCCCUAUGGGUUGUAAACUGCUUUUAUGUGGGGAUAAAGUGCGUGACGUGUCAUGCAUUGCAGGUACCACAUGAAUAAGGACCGGCUAAUUCCGUGCCAGCAGCCGCG